This 782-nucleotide ribosomal RNA is filed under the name uncultured bacterium. RNAcentral describes it as "bacterial SSU rRNA". It matches the Rfam family "Bacterial small subunit ribosomal RNA", at positions 39 to 834 of the family's 1533-position model. The record is from RNAcentral.
GCGGCAUCUUACACAUGCAGUCGAACGAGAACGGGAUAUAGCUUGCUAUAUUUGUCAGCUAAGUGGCGCACGGGUGAGUAAUGUAUAGAUAACCUGCCCUCUAGAAAGGAAUAACAGUUGGAAACGACUGCUAAUGCCCUAUAUGCCUUUAAUACAUAAGUAUGCAAGGGAAACGCUUUAGUGCUAGAGGAUGGGUCUGUAUGGUAUCAGCUUGUUGGUGAGGUAAUGACUCACCAAGGCUAUGACGCCUAACUGGUUUGAGAGGAUGAUCAGUCACACUGGAACUGAGACACGGUCCAGACUCCUACGGGAGGCAGCAGUGGGGAAUAUUGCACAAUGGACGAAAGUCUGAUGCAGCAACGCCGCGUGGAGGAUGACACAUUUCGGUGCGUAAACUCCUUUUAUAUAGGAAGAUAAUGACGGUACUAUAUGAAUAAGCACCGGCUAACUCCGUGCCAGCAGCCGCGGUAAUACGGAGGGUGCAAGCGUUACUCGGAAUCACUGGGCGUAAAGAGCGUGUAGGCGGGUAUAUAAGUCAGAAGUGAAAUCCUAUAGCUUAACUAUAGAACUGCUUUUGAAACUGUAUACCUAGAAUGUGGGAGAGGUAGAUGGAAUUUCUGGUGUAGGGGUAAAAUCCGUAGAGAUCAGAAGGAAUACCGAUUGCGAAGGCGAUCUACUGGAACAUUAUUGACGCUGAGACGCGAAAGCGUGGGGAGCAAACAGGAUUAGAUACCCUGGUAGUCCACGCCCUAAACGAUGUACACUAGUUGUUGUGAGGCUCG